GGGCUUGUAGCUCAGUGGACUAGAGCACGUGGCUACGGACCACGGUGUCGGGGGUUCGAAUCCUCCCAGGCCCG
This 74-nucleotide transfer RNA is filed under the name Dactylococcopsis salina PCC 8305. RNAcentral describes it as "tRNA-Arg (ACG) (tRNA-Arg-ACG-1-1)". It matches the Rfam family "tRNA". From Rfam's summary of the family: Transfer RNA (tRNA) molecules are approximately 80 nucleotides in length. Their secondary structure includes four short double-helical elements and three loops (D, anti-codon, and T loops). RNAcentral also lists the same sequence under 4 other names. Lineage: Bacteria; Bacillati; Cyanobacteriota; Cyanophyceae; Nodosilineales; Cymatolegaceae. The record is from Rfam by way of RNAcentral.